Molecule: ribosomal RNA, 880 nt
Filed under: uncultured bacterium
Lineage: Bacteria
Description: bacterial SSU rRNA
Rfam family: Bacterial small subunit ribosomal RNA
Source: RNAcentral
AGUUUGAUCCUGGCUCAGGAUGAACGCUAGCGGCGUGCCUAACACAUGCAAGUCGAACGUGAAGGGGUACUUGUAUCCCUGAAAGUGGCGGACGGGUGAGUAAGACGUAGGUGACCUGCCUCGAAGUGGGGGAUAACCACUGGAAACGGUGGCUAAUACCGCAUAAGUUGGUUGAGAUGGGAAUCUCAAUCAGGAAAGCUUAAGUGCUUUGAGAGGGGCCUACGGCCGAUUAGCUAGUUGGUGAGGUAAAGGCUCACCAAGGCGAUGAUCGGUAGCUGGUCUGAGAGGACGAUCAGCCACACGGGAACUGAGACACGGUCCCGACUCCUACGGGGGGCAGCAGUGGGGAAUAUUCGGCAAUGGGGGCAACCCUGACCGAGCAACGCCGCGUGGAGGAUGACGGUUUUUGGAUUGUAAACUCCUUUUCUCAGGGAAGAGUGAGGACGGUACCUGAGGAAUAAGUCACGGCUAACUACGUGCCAGCAGCCGCGGUAAUACGUAGGUGGCAAGCGUUAUCCGGAAUUACUGGGCGUAAAGCGCACGCAGGUGGUUUUCUAAGAUUGACGUGAAAGCUUCUGGCUUAACUGGAAGAAGUCGUUGAUGACUGGGAGACUUGAGGUGAGGAGAGGGGUGUAGAAUUCCCGGUGUAGUGGUGGAAUGCGUAGAUAUCGGGGGGAAUACCAGUGGCGAAAGCGACACCCUGGCCUUGGCCUGACGCUCAGGUGCGAAAGCGUGGGGAGCGAACGGGAUUAGAUACCCGGUAGUCCACGCCAUAAACGAUGAACACUAGGUGUAGGUGGUGUCAAAACCAUCGGUACCGAAGCCAACCCGAUAAGUGUUCCGCCUGGGGAGUACGACCGCAAGGUUAAAACUCAAAGGA